Small nuclear RNA from Eutrema salsugineum, 198 nucleotides. It matches the Rfam family "U2 spliceosomal RNA". From Rfam's summary of the family: U2 is a small nuclear RNA (snRNA) component of the spliceosome (involved in pre-mRNA splicing). Complementary binding between U2 snRNA (in an area lying towards the 5' end but 3' to hairpin I) and the branchpoint sequence (BPS) of the intron results the bulging out of an unpaired adenosine, on the BPS, which initiates a nucleophilic attack at the intronic 5' splice site, thus starting the first of two transesterification reactions that mediate splicing. Lineage: Eukaryota; Viridiplantae; Streptophyta; Magnoliopsida; Brassicales; Brassicaceae. The record is from Rfam.
AUACCUUUCUUGGCCUUUUGGCUAAGAUCAAGUGUAGUAUCUGUUCUUAUCAAUUUAAUAUCUGAUAUUCGGUCCAAUGUGGGUUUGACGAUAUUAACUUUAUUUUUAAUGGGGGAGAGUCCGUUGCAUCAGCUUGCUGAUUGGACUCCCACGUGUCGCCCACGUCUUGCACUGCUGCGAGGGUCUGGCACACCUCAC